GAUGAACGCUGGCGGCGUGCCUAAUACAUGCAAGUCGAGCGAACAGACGAGGAGCUUGCUCCUCUGACGUUAGCGGCGGACGGGUGAGUAACACGUGGAUAACCUACCUAUAAGACUGGGAUAACUUCGGGAAACCGGAGCUAAUACCGGAUAAUAUAUUGAACCGCAUGGUUCAAUAGUGAAAGACGGUUUUGCUGUCACUUAUAGAUGGAUCCGCGCCGCAUUAGCUAGUUGGUAAGGUAACGGCUUACCAAGGCAACGAUGCGUAGCCGACCUGAGAGGGUGAUCGGCCACACUGGGACUGAGACACGGUCCAGACUCCUACGGGAGGCAGCAGUAGGGAAUCUUCCGCAAUGGGCGAAAGCCUGACGGAGCAAAGCCGCGUGAAGGAUGAAGGUCUUCGGGUCGUAAAACUCUUUUAUUAGGGAAGAAAAAAUGUUUAAGUAACUAUGCACGUCUUGACGGUACCUAAUCAGAAAGCCACGGCUAACUACGUG
Molecule: ribosomal RNA, 497 nt
Filed under: uncultured bacterium
Lineage: Bacteria
Description: partial 16S ribosomal RNA
Rfam family: Bacterial small subunit ribosomal RNA
Source: RNAcentral